UGUUGUCUUUUAUUUGCUGUUUCUGCACCACCCAGGAUCCUUGGAUGUGGUGUUGACGCCAGACAAGGGUACAGGAGCUGGGGGAUCGAUAGCAAACACUUCUUUAGGUGUAUUGAUUACCCAGAAAGGGAUGAGGAUAAAUUUUUGUGUGUUCCCACUAUGUCUCUGAGCCUGUUAAAAGGAAAGAAAUGGCCUGGUUUGCUUCUCUAUUUCUCUCUUCUUAGAAGCUGAAAAAACCCCCAAAACAACAUGGCAAGAGGUUGGGGAUGAUGGGUCUUCUUUUAUUUUUUUAGACAGUGGGGAAAUCUAAUAUAUUUCUCUUUUGACCUUCUGUCCUCUUUUUGCAUCUUGGGAGCAGAGAAAACAAGGAUGACAGCUAAAAAAGACAGAAUGCCAAAACAGGAAAAAAACCACAACCCUGAAAAGACAACUCCUGACAUGCUUCUAUUAAUCUAAUGAGAAUUUGGUUUAGUAUUGAAUUAGUGAAAAAAGGAAUCUGAUUACUUUUCAUUGGUAUGGGAAAUGGAAGCUGUGUUCCAAGGGGGGAGAUUUGACCUUACACUGCAAGCACUCCAGACCUUGCCUUGGCACAACUUUUCCCACUCAAAAUUCCAGGUGUGCUCAGCAUAUUCUGGAAUUAGAAGAGUUCCUUCUGGGCAGCGAGGCCACCUCUCGAGGACACCCAUCCCUGUUUAUCUCCUGAGCUCCUGCAGAAGCUGGAAUUGUCUCCAUCAGCAGCAGGCACCUCUCGGGGUCUGGAGAAGCUCGGUCUGAGGAAUGACCUCCAUCCAGGACAGGUAAGGAGUUUCUGCCCUGCCUUGCUGACCUUGCCCCCACAGCUCUGAGAACCAAGCACAGUUCAUGUCACAUUUCUGGUAAACCACCCUUUCAUUUCCCAGGGGGCACAAAAAGCAGAUAUUUAAAAGCGAGUGUGUGUCUGAUCUAGAGAUACACAAGGCAGAUAUUCAGGAGUGAAGAUACGUUUGUCAUACAUGUUUGUGUGAUACACAGGGGCUGUGUUUGUCCUUUCAACUCCAUAAAAGUCUACAGGAAGGGUUUGUGCUCCAGCACACUGUUUGUGUCCAGAACACUGAAAAAGGUAAUCAAAGGUACUUUUCUGCACCAGUUUGCAGACUGAGACCCUAAAGGACUCACCCCGUGUCUGAGGUUUCAAAAGCACAGCGCUGCUCAGCAGACAGGAGCUCAGGGGUCAAUAGCAGGCCGCAGGCAGCGCCCG
RNAcentral lists this long non-coding RNA (1237 nucleotides) under Junco hyemalis (dark-eyed junco). Its description in RNAcentral is "lncRNA (ENSJHYG00000007620.1)". The record is from RNAcentral. Lineage: Eukaryota; Metazoa; Chordata; Aves; Passeriformes; Passerellidae.